GGUGCAAACUCAGUUGCAGUUGAUUUUACGUGAAAUUGAUAAUUGAGAGUGGUUAGAUAAUUUAAUUGAUUUGACUAAAAUUUCAUUUAACGACACUCAAUUAUCAAUUUCACAUGAAGUUUCAUUGAACCAGAG
Molecule: non-coding RNA, 135 nt
Organism: Arachis ipaensis
Lineage: Eukaryota; Viridiplantae; Streptophyta; Magnoliopsida; Fabales; Fabaceae
Source: RefSeq, a predicted model, not a curated record